CUGAAGAUGAGACUGGGGGUUUUAUAAAUAUUCAGAGCCCCUGGAAGUGCACGAGUGCACAAGGGAUUGUCGUGAGAGCAGAGGAUGUCGGCACCUCAGGCUGCAGUUAUUGCUGAGCUGGGCUCUGGCACCAGCCAGCCACUCUGCUGCCGUAGGACAAGAGAUGCAGGACCAUAAUCCUCUACUGAAUGUGAUUUUAAAAACCAAGGGAAGCUAACAGAAGAUGAUUACAAAACCUGAAAUUGCUUUGACAGUAUGAGUGACAGUACGUAAUUUAUUUCUAAUCACUAUUAGAAGUUGGUUGAUUAAAUUUUUUUCCAUUAAAUAUUUCUGCAAAUGAAGGAUAUGUUCAAUUGUGCUUAAGCAUUAAUUGAAUUAGCAUUUAAAUAUACAUUCAUCUGCUGUUGUACUUUCUAAAGGUAGAACAUUUUUUCAGAAAUUAACGGAAUUUUUAAAAAGUCAAUCCAAAUCUUUUUCACAAGGUUUUGGUGUUGUUUUUGUUGUUGUUGUUGUUUGUUUGUUCUGGAUUUCUGAAUAAUUCUAAGAAUGGUACCUUUGUAUCACUUGAGAUUAUUCAGGUAGGUCAUCAACAUUAUUUUAAUGGCUGUAAGUGAGGAAAAUUAGACUAUGACUGUAUUAAUAAGGAACUCAACUUAGAAUCAUAGAAUCGCUAAGGUUGGAAAAGACCCACAGGAUCGUCCAGUCCAAACUUAGAAUAACUUAAUGCCAUUUGGAUUGCGCAAUAGUGAAUUAUGUUUCAGCUAUAAAAUGUAG
RNAcentral lists this long non-coding RNA (774 nucleotides) under Gallus gallus (chicken). RNAcentral's name for it is "lncRNA (ENSGALG00010024464.1)". Lineage: Eukaryota; Metazoa; Chordata; Aves; Galliformes; Phasianidae. The record is from RNAcentral.